UUAUUUUAAAGAGCCGCAGUAUAUUGACUGUGCAAAGGUAGCAUAAUCAUUAGUUUUUUAAUUGAAAACUUGUAUGAAAGGUUAAACAAAAAAAUUUCUGUCUCUUAUUUAAAAAUUGAAAUUAACUUUUAAGUGAAAAGGCUUAAAUUUUUUAAGGGGACGAUAAGACCCUAUAAAGUAUUUUGCUGGGGCGGUACAGAUAUAAAUGAUAACUGUCAGAAUUGUAAACAUAUAUAGGUGAUAGAUCCUAAAUAAAGAUUAUAAGACUAAGUUACUUUAGGGAUAACAGCUUAAUUUUUUUUAAGAGUUCAUAUCGAAAGAAAAGUUUGAGACCUCGAUGUUGAAUUAAAAUAACUUUACGGUGCAGCUGCUGUAUAAAGAAGGUCUGUUCGACCUUUAAAUUUUU
RNAcentral lists this ribosomal RNA (406 nucleotides) under Tiarinia sp. LMT-2014. RNAcentral's name for it is "partial 16S large subunit ribosomal RNA". It matches the Rfam family "Bacterial large subunit ribosomal RNA", at positions 1918 to 2597 of the family's 2925-position model. Lineage: Eukaryota; Metazoa; Arthropoda; Malacostraca; Decapoda; Mithracidae. The record is from RNAcentral.